RNAcentral lists this ribosomal RNA (349 nucleotides) under Salmonella enterica. RNAcentral's name for it is "partial 23S ribosomal RNA". The record is from RNAcentral. Lineage: Bacteria; Pseudomonadati; Pseudomonadota; Gammaproteobacteria; Enterobacterales; Enterobacteriaceae.
GGUUAAGCGACUAAGCGUACACGGUGGAUGCCCUGGCAGUCAGAGGCGAUGAAGGRCGUGCUAAUCUGCGAUAAGCGCCGGUAAGGUGAUAUGAACCGUUAUAACCGGCGAUUUCCGAAUGGGGAAACCCAGUGUGACUCGUCACACUAUCAUUAACUGAAUCCAUAGGUUAAUGAGGCGAACCGGGGGAACUGAAACAUCUAAGUACCCCGAGGAAAAGAAAUCAACCGAGAUUCCCCCAGUAGCGGCGAGCGAACGGGGAGGAGCCCAGAGCCUGAAUCAGCAUGUGUGUUAGUGGAAGCGUCUGGAAAGGCGCGCGAUACAGGGUGACAGCCCCGUACACAAAAGC